CUGUCAUUUGCCGUGUGAUUUAGCAAAGUGAAGACGUGCGCAAGACACAAAGGUGAAAAACUAUUUCAGUGAAUUGGACAUAUGUGCGACCCUUCCGUACCUCGAGGCCUCUUUGCUCUUCGCUAGACCAGACAGCUAAGGGAAAAAAUACCAUAGCCUAGAACAUGGAACAUGUAUAUACAUAUAUAAGUAACUGUAUUACAAAAUAAAAUAUAAAAAAAAUA
Drosophila suzukii is the source of this 224-nucleotide non-coding RNA. The record is from RefSeq and is a predicted model, not a curated record. NCBI's taxonomy places the organism in Eukaryota, Metazoa, Arthropoda, Insecta, Diptera, Drosophilidae.